GGCGCCGUGGCUAAAUUGGUUAAAGCGCCUGUCUAAUAAACAGGAUUGUGAGUUUGAAUCUCACCGGUGCCU
Molecule: transfer RNA, 72 nt
Filed under: Rhipicephalus microplus (southern cattle tick)
Lineage: Eukaryota; Metazoa; Arthropoda; Arachnida; Ixodida; Ixodidae
Description: tRNA-Ile
Rfam family: tRNA
About the family: Transfer RNA (tRNA) molecules are approximately 80 nucleotides in length. Their secondary structure includes four short double-helical elements and three loops (D, anti-codon, and T loops).
Source: Rfam by way of RNAcentral